UACGGGGGGGGCAAGCGUUGUUCGGAAUUACUGGGCGUAAAGGGCUCGUAGGCGGCCAACUAAGUCAUACGUGAAAUCCCUCGGCUUAACCGGGGAACUGCGUCUGAUACUGGAUGGCUUGAGUUCGGGAGAGGGAUGCGGAAUUCCAGGUGUAGCGGUGAAAUGCGUAGAUAUCUGGAGGAACACCGGUGGCGAAGGCGGCAUCCUGGACCGAUACUGACGCUGAGGAGCGAAAGCCAGGGGUGCAAACGGG
RNAcentral lists this ribosomal RNA (253 nucleotides) under uncultured bacterium. RNAcentral describes it as "partial 16S ribosomal RNA". It matches the Rfam family "Bacterial small subunit ribosomal RNA", at positions 524 to 776 of the family's 1533-position model. The record is from RNAcentral.